UACGAAGGGGGCUAGCGUUGUCCGGAAUUACUGGGCGUAAAGCGCACGUAGGCGGAUUGUUAAGUCAGAGGUGAAAUCCCGGAGCUCAACUUCGGAACUGCCUUUGAUACUGGCAAUCUAGAGUCCGGAAGAGGUUAGUGGAAUUCCCAGUGUAGAGGUGAAAUUCGUAGAUAUUGGGAAGAACACCAGUGGCGAAGGCGGCUAACUGGUCCGGUACUGACGCUGAGGUGCGAAAGCGUGGGGAGCGAACAGG
This 253-nucleotide ribosomal RNA is filed under the name uncultured bacterium. RNAcentral describes it as "partial 16S ribosomal RNA". It matches the Rfam family "Bacterial small subunit ribosomal RNA", at positions 524 to 776 of the family's 1533-position model. The record is from RNAcentral.